RNAcentral lists this ribosomal RNA (225 nucleotides) under Ceratobasidium sp. RNAcentral describes it as "partial large subunit ribosomal RNA". The record is from RNAcentral. Lineage: Eukaryota; Fungi; Basidiomycota; Agaricomycetes; Cantharellales; Ceratobasidiaceae.
AAACGCUUGAAGUCAGUCGCGUUCUCUGGGAUUCAGCCUUGCUUCUGCUUGGUGCAUUUCCUAGUCUACGGGCCAGCAUGAAUUUUGACCGGUGGAAAAAGAUUUGGGGAAUGUGGCACCUUCGGGUGUGUUAUAGCCCCUUGUCAUAUACAUCGGUUGGGAUUGGGGUCUUAGUGCACGCUUCGGUUGUGCUUUGAUGCUGGCGUAAUGGCUUUAAACGACCCG